AAACCAACAGGGAUUACCUCAGUAACGGCGAGUGAAGCGGUAACAGCUCAAAUUUGAAAUCUGGGUCUUUCAGGCUCCGAGUUGUAAUUUGUAGAAGAUGCUUCGGGUGCGGCUCCGGUCUAAGUUCCUUGGAACAGGACGUCAUAGAGGGUGAGAAUCCCGUAUGUGAUCGGUUGCUUGCGCCCAUGUGAAGCUCUUUCGACGAGUCGAGUUGUUUGGGAAUGCAGCUCAAAAUGGGUGGUAAAUUUCAUCUAAAGCUAAAUAUUGGCCAGAGACCGAUAGCGCACAAGUAGAGUGAUCGAAAGAUGAAAAGCACUUUGGAAAGAGAGUUAAACAGUACAUGAAAUUGUUGAAAGGGAAGCGCUUGCAACCAGACUUGCGCGUUGCCGAUCAUCCGGGGUUCUCCCCGGUGCACUCGGCCUCGCUCAGGCCAGCAUCGGUUUUGGUGGUGGGAUAAAGGCCUUGGGAAUGUAGCUCCUUUCGGGGAGUGUUAUAGCCCUCGGUGCAAUGCCGCCUACCGGGACCGAGGACCGCGCUUCGGCUAGGAUGCUGGCGUAAUGGUUGUAAGCGAC
Molecule: ribosomal RNA, 572 nt
Filed under: uncultured fungus
Lineage: Eukaryota; Fungi
Description: eukaryotic LSU rRNA
Rfam family: Eukaryotic large subunit ribosomal RNA
Source: RNAcentral